AAUUUGCCGAAAGUGUGAUAGGGUUAUCCCGAGUGCAGUCCGAUGAGGAUGGCUUUUCCCCGGUGUAACGAUUCGGGGGAAUAAAGGGGGGGCAAGACUGGUGUCAGCCGCCGCGGUAAUACCAGCCCCCUGAGUGGUAGGGAUGAUUAUUUGGCCUAAAGCGUCCGUAGCCGGCUUAGCCAGUCUUUCGUGAAAUCCGGUGACUUAAUCAUCGGGCGUGCGAGAGAUACUACUAGGCUUGAGGACGGGAGAGGUCGACGGUAUUUUGGGGGUAGGGGUAAAAUCCUAUAAUCCUCAGAGGACCACCAGUGGCGAAGGCGGUCGACUAGAACGUGCCUGACGGUGAUGGACGAAAGCUGGGGGAGCAAACCGGAUUAGACACCCGGGUAGUCCCAGCUGUAAACGAUGCGGGCUAGGUGUUGGAGCAGCUACGAGCUGUCCCAGUGCCGCAGAGAAGUCAUUAAGCCCGCCGCCUGGGAAGUACGGUCGCAAGACUGAAACUUAAAGGAAUUGGCGGGGG
RNAcentral lists this ribosomal RNA (520 nucleotides) under uncultured archaeon. RNAcentral describes it as "bacterial SSU rRNA". It matches the Rfam family "Archaeal small subunit ribosomal RNA", at positions 352 to 874 of the family's 1478-position model. The record is from RNAcentral.